RNAcentral lists this ribosomal RNA (889 nucleotides) under Neopyrenochaeta telephoni. RNAcentral's name for it is "partial large subunit ribosomal RNA". It matches the Rfam family "Eukaryotic large subunit ribosomal RNA", at positions 46 to 951 of the family's 3401-position model. The record is from RNAcentral. Lineage: Eukaryota; Fungi; Ascomycota; Dothideomycetes; Pleosporales; Neopyrenochaetaceae.
AUAAGCGGAGGAAAAGAAACCAAACAGGGAUUGCCCUAGUAACGGCGAGUGAAGCGGCAUCAGCUCAAAUUUGAAAUCUGGCUCUUUCAGAGUCCGAGUUGUAAUUUGCAGAGGGCGCUUUGGCGUUGGCAGCGGUCCAAGUUCCUUGGAACAGGACGUCACAGAGGGUGAGAAUCCCGUACGUGGUCGCUGGCCUUCACCGUGUAAAGCCCCUUCGACGAGUCGAGUUGUUUGGGAAUGCAGCUCUAAAUGGGAGGUAAAUUUCUUCUAAAGCUAAAUACUGGCCAGAGACCGAUAGCGCACAAGUAGAGUGAUCGAAAGAUGAAAAGCACUUUGGAAAGAGAGUCAAAUAGCACGUGAAAUUGUUGAAAGGGAAGCGCUUGCAGCCAGACUUGCCUGUAGUUGCUCAUCCGGGCUUUUGCCCGGUGCACUCUUCUGUAGGCAGGCCAGCAUCAGUUUGGGCGGUUGGAUAAAGGCCUCUGUCAUGUACCUCCUUUCGGGGAGGCCUUAUAGGGGAGGCGACAUGCAACCAGCCUGGACUGAGGUCCGCGCAUCUGCUAGGAUGCUGGCGUAAUGGCUGUAAGCGGCCCGUCUUGAAACACGGACCAAGGAGUCUAACAUCUAUGCGAGUGUUUGGGUGUCAAGCCCGAGCGCGCAAUGAAAGUGAACGGAGGUGGGAUCCCUUAAGGGUGCACCAUCGACCGAUCCUGAUGUCUUCGGAUGGAUUUGAGUAAGAGCAUGGCUGUUGGGACCCGAAAGAUGGUGAACUAUGCUUGAAUAGGGUGAAGCCAGAGGAAACUCUGGUGGAGGCUCGCAGCGGUUCUGACGUGCAAAUCGAUCGUCAAAUUUGGGCAUAGGGGGCGAAAGACUAAUCGAACUAUCUAGUAGC